RNAcentral lists this ribosomal RNA (123 nucleotides) under Microcebus murinus (gray mouse lemur). Lineage: Eukaryota; Metazoa; Chordata; Mammalia; Primates; Cheirogaleidae. The record is from RNAcentral.
GUCUGUGGCCAUACUACCCUGAACAUUCCCUAUCUCAUCUCAUUUUGGAAGCUAAGCAGGGACAGUCAUGGUUAGUACUUGAAUGGGAGACCAAAACUCCCAUUUUCAUGGGAGCUAAGGAAA